This 345-nucleotide unclassified non-coding RNA is filed under the name soil metagenome. RNAcentral's name for it is "partial contains 5.8S ribosomal RNA, internal transcribed spacer 2, and large subunit ribosomal RNA". The stretch from base 1 to 120 matches the Rfam family "5.8S ribosomal RNA", at positions 35 to 154 of the family's 154-position model. The record is from RNAcentral.
GAUGAAGAACGUAGCGAAAUGCGAUACGUAAUGUGAAUUGCAGAAUUCAGUGAAUCAUCGAGUCUUUGAACGCACAUUGCGCCCCCUGGUAUUCCGGGGGGCAUGCCUGUCCGAGCGUCAUUGCUGCCCUCAAGCACGGCUUGUGUGUUGGGCCUCCGUCCUCCUCCCGGGGGACGGGCCCGAAAGGCAGCGGCGGCACCGCGUCCGGUCCUCGAGCGUAUGGGGCUUCGUCACCCGCUCUUGUAGGCCCGGUCGGCGCUUGCCGACACAUCAAUCUUUUUUCCAGGUUGACCUCGGAUCAGGUAGGGAUACCCGCUGAUCUUAAGCAUAUCAAUAAGCGGAGGA